RNAcentral lists this ribosomal RNA (468 nucleotides) under uncultured bacterium. Its description in RNAcentral is "partial 16S ribosomal RNA". It matches the Rfam family "Bacterial small subunit ribosomal RNA", at positions 28 to 507 of the family's 1533-position model. The record is from RNAcentral.
GACGAACGCUGGCGGCGUGCUUAACACAUGCGAGUCGAACGGAAAGGCCCUGCUUUUGUGGGGUGCUCGAGUGGCGAACGGGUGAGUAACACGUGAGUAACCUGCCCUUGACUUUGGGAUAACUUCAGGAAACUGGGGCUAAUACCGGAUAGGAGCUCCUGCUGCAUGGGGGGGGUUGGAAAGUUUCGGCGGUUGGGGAUGGACUCGCGGCUUAUCAGCUUGUUGGUGGGGUAGUGGCUUACCAAGGCUUUGGCGGGUAGCCGGCCUGAGAGGGUGACCGGCCACAUUGGGACUGGGAUACGGCCCAGACUCCUACGGGAGGCAGCAGUGGGGAAUAUUGCACAAUGGGCGGAAGCCUGAUGCAGCAACGCCGCGUGCGGGAUGACGGCCUUCGGGUUGUAAACCGCUUUCGCCUGUGACGAAGCGUGAGUGACGGUAAUGGGUAAAGAAGCACCGGCUAACUACGUG